This 254-nucleotide ribosomal RNA is filed under the name uncultured bacterium. RNAcentral describes it as "partial 16S ribosomal RNA". It matches the Rfam family "Bacterial small subunit ribosomal RNA", at positions 524 to 776 of the family's 1533-position model. The record is from RNAcentral.
UACAGAGGUCCCAAGCGUUGUUCGGAUUCAUUGGGCGUAAAGGGUGCGUAGGUGGCGCCGUAAGUCAGGUGUGAAAUUUCGGAGCUUAACUCCGAAACUGCAUUUGAUACUGCGGUGCUUGAGGACUGGAGAGGAGACUGGAAUUUACGGUGUAGCAGUGAAAUGCGUAGAGAUCGUAAGGAAGACCAGUGGCGAAGGCGGGUCUCUGGACCAGUUCCUGACACUGAGGCACGAAGGCCAGGGGAGCAAACGGG